AUGCACUUUCUUCCCCGUCUUCCACUCUUCUUCCUCCUCUCUUCUUCUUCCUCCUCUCUUCCCCAUCGUCGGCCGCACACCAUUUCCCCCCGCUCACUGCUCGCCCGCCAGCGCUAUCUUCCUUGCAGACGCAAAUGCGCUGGCCUUCAUGAUUCCAGGACCUGGAAUCAUACCAGCCGAUGGUACCAUAUAACUGGAAUUAACCGAUGCAAGUCGAAGAAGGAUUGGCCGGUGCUGCCGGCUGGCGUCAAGUUUGAUCCCACGGAUCAGGAGCUGAUCGAGCACCUUGAAGCCAAAGUGAGUGCUGACAGCGCGAGAUCUCACCCUCUCAUCGAUUUGUUCAUACCAACCAUCGACAGCGAGCACGGCAUAUGCUACACCCAUCCUGAGAAACUUCCAGCGCAAUUCCAGGGCGUUCAAAGGGGCACGUGGACGCGUCGCAAGAUACAGUUGGAGUGCGGCAUGCACGCGAUGUGGCACAACACCGGCAAUACCUUGCCGGUGAUGGUCAACGGCCAGCAGACGGGCAGCAAAAAGGUUCUGGUGCUGCACACCAACAAGAACUUUGACCAACAGAGGACCAACUGGGUGAUGCACCAGUACCACCUCGGGGACCUGGAGCAAGAGAAGGAGCGGGAGCUGGUCCUCUGCAAGAUUUUCUACCAGACGAACACUAGGGCCAGGAGUAAAAAGAUUAUAAGUUAG
Molecule: ribosomal RNA, 705 nt
Filed under: Triticum aestivum (bread wheat)
Lineage: Eukaryota; Viridiplantae; Streptophyta; Magnoliopsida; Poales; Poaceae
Description: partial small subunit ribosomal RNA
Source: RNAcentral